Molecule: ribosomal RNA, 233 nt
Filed under: uncultured bacterium
Lineage: Bacteria
Description: partial 16S ribosomal RNA
Rfam family: Bacterial small subunit ribosomal RNA
Source: RNAcentral
CACGGGUGAGUAACGCAUAUCCAACCUGCCGUCUACUCUUGGACAGCCUUCUGAAAGGAAGAUUAAUACAAGAUGGCAUCAUGAGUCCGCAUGUUCACAUGAUUAAAGGUAUUCCGGUAGACGAUGGGGAUGCGUUCCAUUAGAUAGUAGGCGGGGUAACGGCCCACCUAGUCUUCGAUGGAUAGGGGUUCUGAGAGGAAGGUCCCCCACAUUGGAACUGAGACACGGUCCAA